GGAGUGGUGGCAGAGUGGUCGAUUGCGGCGGUCUUGAAAACCGUUGAACCUUAGCGGGUUCCGUGGGUUCGAAUCCCACCCGCUCCGCCA
RNAcentral lists this transfer RNA (90 nucleotides) under Paracoccaceae bacterium. RNAcentral's name for it is "Rhodobacteraceae bacterium (oil production facility metagenome) tRNA-Ser". It matches the Rfam family "tRNA". Rfam says of the family: Transfer RNA (tRNA) molecules are approximately 80 nucleotides in length. Their secondary structure includes four short double-helical elements and three loops (D, anti-codon, and T loops). RNAcentral also lists the same sequence under 1 other name. Lineage: Bacteria; Pseudomonadati; Pseudomonadota; Alphaproteobacteria; Rhodobacterales; Paracoccaceae. The record is from RNAcentral.